RNAcentral lists this ribosomal RNA (478 nucleotides) under uncultured Planctomycetales bacterium. RNAcentral's name for it is "bacterial SSU rRNA". It matches the Rfam family "Bacterial small subunit ribosomal RNA", at positions 364 to 832 of the family's 1533-position model. The record is from RNAcentral. Lineage: Bacteria; Pseudomonadati; Planctomycetota; Planctomycetia; Planctomycetales.
UUUCGCAAUGCCCGAAAGGGUGACGAAGCGACGCCGCGUGUGGGAAGAAGGCCUUCGGGUUGUAAACCACUGUCGGGAGUUAAGAAAUACAAGGAUAUUAAUAGUGUCUUUGUUUGACUAAGGCUCCGGAGGAAGCCACGGCUAACUCUGUGCCAGCAGCCGCGGUAAUACAGAGGCGGCAAGCGUUGUUCGGAAUUAUUGGGCGUGAAGAGCACGUAGGCGGCUAUGUAAGUCGGUUGUGAAAGCCUUCCGCUCAACGGAAGAACAGCAUCCGAUACUACAUGGCUUGAGUGCGGGAGGGGAGAGUGGAACUUCUGGUGGAGCGGUGAAAUGCGUAGAUAUCAGAAGGAACGCCGGCGGCGAAAGCGGCUCUCUGGCCCAUAACUGACGCUGAGUGUGCGAAAGCUAGGGGAGCAAACGGGAUUAGAUACCCCGGUAGUCCUAGCCGUAAACGAUGGGCACUAAGUAGAGGGGUUUU